GGACGGAUAAGGCGUUUACGCCGCAUCCGGCAGUUGUACGCAGGUGCCUGAUGCGACGCUGGCGCGUCUUAUCAUGCC
Molecule: non-coding RNA, 78 nt
Organism: Escherichia coli str. K-12 substr. MG1655
Lineage: Bacteria; Pseudomonadati; Pseudomonadota; Gammaproteobacteria; Enterobacterales; Enterobacteriaceae
Source: Rfam